Molecule: non-coding RNA, 306 nt
Filed under: Vibrio jasicida
Lineage: Bacteria; Pseudomonadati; Pseudomonadota; Gammaproteobacteria; Vibrionales; Vibrionaceae
Source: RNAcentral
UCUACCGGUAGUGACGACUCAAGUGAGUUUGCAUUUUCAGCUCUUAACAAUAAACCAUGUAAUGAGAGAUCUUGAAUCGUGGCUUGUAGUGCCAAGUCACUUUGUUCCACUAAAGCAGAAACUUGGUAGAUGAUGCGUGAAAAGCGUCGUCUCUCCGUCAUAGAGCUUUCUCAUAUAGUCGUCGAAUCUGUCGAUGACUAUAUCAAAUAGAACAAAAAUUGUUCAAUUGUUGUUCUUAAAAUGUCGAGGUAGCACAGAGUUACGAUUGCUAAAGGUCAAGCUCUUAAUUGAAAAAAUGCCAAUCUG